GACGAACGCUGGCGGCGUGCUUAACACAUGCAAGUCGAACGGAAAGGCCCAGCUUGCUGGGUACUCGAGUGGCGAACGGGUGAGUAACACGUGGGUGAUCUGCCCUGCACUCUGGGAUAAGCCUGGGAAACUGGGUCUAAUACCGGAUAUGACCAACUGUCGCAUGGUGGUUGGUGGAAAGCUUUUGCGGUGUGGGAUGGGCCCGCGGCCUAUCAGCUUGUUGGUGGGGUAAUGGCCUACCAAGGCGACGACGGGUAGCCGACCUGAGAGGGUGAUCGGCCACACUGGGACUGAGACACGGCCCAGACUCCUACGGGAGGCAGCAGUGGGGAAUAGUGCACAAUGGGCGCAAGCCGGAUGCAGCGACGCCGCGUGAGGGAUGACGGCCUUCGGGUUGUAAACCUCUUUCACCAGGGACGAAGCGUGAGUGACGGUACCUGGAGAAGAAGCACCGGCCAACUACGU
Molecule: ribosomal RNA, 465 nt
Filed under: uncultured bacterium
Lineage: Bacteria
Description: partial 16S ribosomal RNA
Rfam family: Bacterial small subunit ribosomal RNA
Source: RNAcentral